Molecule: ribosomal RNA, 374 nt
Filed under: uncultured organism
Description: partial 16S ribosomal RNA
Rfam family: Bacterial small subunit ribosomal RNA
Source: RNAcentral
GUAGGUGGCAAGCGUUGUCCGGAAUUAUUGGGCGUAAAGCGCGCGCAGGCGGUCCUUUAAGUCUGAUGUGAAAGCCCACGGCUCAACCGUGGAGGGUCAUUGGAAACUGGGGGACUUGAGUACAGAAGAGGAAAGCGGAAUUCCAAGUGUAGCGGUGAAAUGCGUAGAGAUUUGGAGGAACGCCAGUGGCGAAGGCGGCUUUCUGGUCUGUAACUGACGCUGAGGCGCGAAAGCGUGGGGAGCAAACAGGAUUAGAUACCCUGGUAGUCCACGCCGUAAACGAUGAGUGCUAAGUGUUAGGGGGUUUCCCGCCCCCCUUAGUGCUGCAGCUAACGCAUUAAGCACUCCGCCUGGGGAGUACGGCCGCAAGGCUG